CAGUAACAGGCCUCACCCUGCUCCCACGCAGCCUGCAGUCUUAAAGGCCAGUGUCACUCUCACUGUGCUCCCCCAACAGCACUGAGUGUAUUUCCAGGCAGCCAGUGACUAAAUGACUAGGGCUGAGAACUUGCCCUAUACCACAAGCCUCCUCGCUGAGAAAGCAAGCGGACUCACAGUUUUUCAGGGAGCCUGCAGCCGUGAUCCAGUUCUUUCAAAGGGUCUGUGAGUCUUUCAGCUUUCCUGCCUACUCAACAUGAAGAUGACAAGAAGGAAGACCUUUAUGAUGAUCCACUUUUGCUUAGUUUUUAGAUCAAAAAGAAUUGUACUCAAGGAAUUGAAGCUAUGGAGCCUCUGCCACAUCUGGACCUGAUUUUGAUGACAAGAUCCUGUACCUCAAGCCCGAGACUAAUUUCAUAAUUUGAUGAAUCUUUUUGGAGAGUCAUGGGAGGAAUGUAAACAAUUUGUGGCCAAAGGAGAAUUAUGGUAGUUUGAAGAUGUGGAUACAAAUUAUUUGACAUUCUUCUCAUAGAAAGGUGAUGCUUAUGUCUCCACCCCUUGUAAACAAGCUGGCUUGUGACUUUGACCUAUAGUGUAUGGUGGGAGUGAUGCUGUGGAACUGGAAUUACUAGCAUCAGGAAACCUACUUGCUACAGACCCAACAACGUGCAAUGAUCAGAUCCCAAUUUAGACUGUAAAAAGACCAAUAUCAGAGACUAAGAACUGAGAUCAAACAUACCUUCUUCCUGUACCAAACAGUUCUGGGGCCAAAUAUUGUCUACUGUCUCUAUGCUAACUAGUACUGAAACCAGGCAAAAUUAACUACUUAGCCGCUUGUUCCAGGAAAUACCUGCUCUCGGAAGAAAUAAGUUAACCCACCUGUAUUAGUCUGUUUUCUGCUGCCAUAACAGAACAUUACAGACUAGAUAAUUACUUUGAAAAGUUUAUUUGACCCACAGUUCUGGAAGCUAGGAAAUCCAAGAGGAUGGCACUGGUGUCUGGUGAGGGUCAUGUUAUAGUGGAGGAGUGGAGGAUGGAAGCAAACACAUGAGACAGAGAGAGAAAUCAGGCCAGACUUACUUCUCUAACAAACCCCAUCUCAAUAACUAACUCAUUCCUAUGAUAAUAGCAUUAAUUAUCUCAUGAAAGCCCUCAUAACCUAAUUACCUCUUAAAGACCCCACAUCAAUAAAAUAUCAACAUGAGUUUUGGAGGGGACGUAUAUUUAAAUAAUAGCACCAACUAAAGAGCUUACUUACCUUGCUCAUCAAGACUUUCUUCAAGACUUUCAUCGUGUUGUUUCUAUCUACCCCAAACUAUUAUUUCAUACCCUUUGUUCCAUCCCAACUAAUUUUAGAUGCUACGGUCUGAAUGUUGAAAUUCAUGUAUUGAAACCUAGUCACCAAUUUAUGGUAUUAGGAGAUUGUCCUUUGGGAGGUGAUUGGGCCACAAGGGCUUCACUCUCAUUAAUGGAAUUAGUGUUCUUCUAAAAGAGGCUGCAGAGAGCUGCGUUUUCUCCUCCAUUGUGUGUGAAGGCAGUGAGAAUUUGUUUGCAAUGAAUCAGGAAAUGGGCCCUCACCAGACACCAGCACUUUGAUCUUAGAUUUUCCAACCUACAGAACUGUGAGAAAUGAAUUUCUGUGGUUUAUACCACCAACUUAGGGUAUUUUGUUAUAGCAGCCAGAACAGAUGAAGGAACUCCACCUUGCCUUAAAAUGACUCAUUUCAGGCCCCGAAAUCCCAUAAACACUUUCCCUUGAUGUCUUCCUUUUGAGAUACUAUUAAUAUUCUGUCAAGGUAGUAGUCUGCUUUAAUAUAAUCAGCUAGUUUUUUUUUUUAACCAAUAGGUUUUUCUGGUGGGUUUGUGUGUGUGUGUGUGUGUGUGUGUAGCUAAUAGUCAACAUCACCUUAUCAAGAACAACUGUCUGAAUAUUAACUUACUUAGGACGUUUGUCUAGGGAGAUGUUGAUGUGUGGAUGAGUUUAAUCUUAUUAAUGCUCCACAUGGGUAUUCUAAGGCUGAGUCAAGGCAUUUUUCUAACAUAACAUGACAGCAUUAAAUGAUCCAUUUCUAGUGUGUUUUUAUUCCACACCACACAUUUGUAGACCUAGGACUACAAACAUUAUCUAUGUCAUUAUAAUCACAUUUUUUGGUCCUUUCUAACUCAUUAUUCACAGGAUGUUCCUGGAACCAGGACCUAUAUUUAACACUAAUACUGUCAUAAAAAUAAUCCACUAUUGCAAUUUACAUGUUCACAAAAUACUACUCUUUUGUAAACAAAGUAAAUUUUCUAACUGUAAUUGAACAUCAAAUUCAAGGCCAGAUUCCCUAAGGUCAAUUCAAUUACAAUUUACACAGUUAAUGGAGUAACUUAAAGCACACAUACAUUUACACACAUUCAUACAUACUUCUUUCAAAACUGUACUCAGAAAAACACUUUCCUGCUUACCACUGAAGGCAUAUAUUGCUACUGGCAUCUAGGCAUUUUUGUUUGGGUAAUCUACCUGAGUAAGGCAAGGCUUUUAAUGGAUGAGAAUAAAUGACUGUGUCAAGCUAAAAGUUUCAAGAUCUUUCAAGUUUCAUAAAAAUGAAUCUUUAAGUGUUCUCAGAAUGCAAAAUUGGAGCUGCAAUUGGAUAUCAAAUCAGUUGCAAAAAGUGUGCAGCAGCUGUUGCUCAAGUUGAGACUCAGCUUGCAGUUUUGCAAAGAAGUUUCAGGAAUAGUUUGUUUGGCCUUGUCCCAUCUUCUGAAAUAAUCUGAUCAGGCAUGAAUUUCUUAAAAGGCUGCCAAUUUGGUAGUGAGAAUUUGCUCAUACUUCUCCUGAACUUUACCUUCACAGCCUCUUAAGAGAUGCUCACAUAUUAGUCCAACUCACGGGAGCAUAAAGACGGCUGGUCCCUCUUCAUCAGGUUUGGAGGAAUCUGAUGAAUUUUAGGUGCCAUUAUUGCUGAGAAGGGAAUCAUAUUCUUUUAAAUACAAACUUCACAGUGAUUAAAAACAAAAAUUAUAAACAAGCAACUCCUAAUUGUUUCCAUUUCUGAUAAUGGUUUUAUUCCUCUUUUCUAAUCUGAAAAAAUGCACUCCAGGGUGGGUUGAAUGGUGUCACUUGCUGCCAGCAGGGUUGGUUGCCGUGACAUGGUAGCUGUGGGUGGGGUCCAAGGUGACAAGAGAGACUUCCACACCUAGCUGAAUCACUUCCACUCCAAGGUCCACGUAAUCCACAUCAUCCCAUGUCCUGUUUCUGAGGGUCAGAGACUCAGUGGACAUUCCUGACCCACUGCUCCUCAGUGGGGCUCAAUAUCCCGAUUUUAUAAUUUUUUAAAAAAAAGAAAACAAAAAUAAAACCAAAAAUAAACAAUCACUCGUUCUCUACUUACAUGCAGUGACUGACUCUCAUUUAGCUUGAUUUGCCCAAUUUAUUCAUAUCAAUUAAUUGGAUAAUGAGUCACCAACAGUCUUUAGGUUUUACAGAACCAUUAUCCUCAUUUCCUAAUUUACUUCCAGGGAAAUGAUAUAUGUAAACAUUUUCUCAAAAACGGGGGAGUGUAUCCAUUUUUCAAUAUAUACAAAUCAUUAUUUUUUCAUUCCAACUCCUAUCUCAAAAUAUGCAAAUGUUUCCUGAAGUUCUCUUAGGAUAUUUGUCUAUUUAUAGCUCCCCUUCCCCUCUAUUUAACACUGUUUUGAGGUGCUGUUUCUAAAAUGCAAAUCUGACUCCUCCAGUCACACUUCCAGGUUUAAAAGUCUUCGCAGCUUUCUAUCACCUUUAAAACAGGAUCCCAAGUGUCCUCCCUGCUCUGGGCCCUGACCAGGUCUGUCCACCACCCGGCACGCAUCUUUAAACUUGCAUUUUUCUGACUUGCAUUUUCUUCCCUCACCCCCUGGCUCAUUCACAAACUGCUCCCAUUGUUUACAUUGCUUUUUACCAUGGGUUCUCCUGGCACAUGUUUAUCUAGUGGCUGGUUCAUUCUUCUCUGGGGCCCCAAAUCUUCUUAGCAGUGGUUCCAGAUUACCUCUUCCUCAGUGUUUCUCGGUAGUUUAGGUGUCCCUCUUCUGAGGUCCUCUCUCAGAAUUGCCACGCUGUGUGGCCAUCACUGACUUAGUUUUCCAUCUCUCCUUCCUCACAAGAAGCUCUUUCAAGACAGGAACCGCCUUUUCUUUGUGAAUGCUCAGAAUUCCACUAGUGCCAGGCACAAAGGGAGCUCUCAGCUUCUCUGUUGAGUGAAUGAAAUGAAUGCAUGAGGGGUUCUAAAGAACUGUGUAGCCUUUCACAAGCAAUGUCCUCCAUUACAGAGGGGGUAGGACUGCCUUUCUACUCUUGGGGAAAGCUCUGUGCCAUCAAACUUCAGAUAUUUCAAAGUCAGUGCUUUUAGGAGAAAAUAUUCCAUUGGAGCCUAGAAAGCUGCAAGAGGUAACAGGCAUGCAAGAGAAAGGGUCCCGUUCAUCCUGGAUCAUGUCUGGCUCUUGGUAAAAAGACACAAGAUGACUGUCUUUUUUAUUCUUUUUUAGUGAAUCUUUUUUUAUUCUUUUUUAGUGAAUCUUUAUUAGUUUAGCAAAUAAUUUUUGAGCACUAUGUGCCUGGCACUGGGGAUUCAAUAACAAACAAAAUAUAUGUGAUCUGUCUUCACCAAGUUGAAAUGGAUCAUGAGUGAAAAACAUUAAAUUCUCAAGCAAAUGACUGCUAAGUUCCAGGCAAUUGGGGUAAAGGUUGUGAAGAAGAUGCAGAGUAUCCUGAGAAGCUGCAAAUUUUACUUUUUGUAGAUACAUGAGCCACAUUUCUUCAUUCCAAGAAAAUAUUUUAUUAAUAUGUUCAACCUGAUCUGUUGGGACAGUAAAGACUUCUCCAAGAAUGGCCUAUGAAUUAAUUUAAGGAUGGUGGGUGGGCAAAAUGAAUUUAGGAACAGCAUGCACAGAAGCCCUGCAAAAGAGAAUGGAAACAAGGAUAUUAUCCCUGGAGUGUGGUGAAUAAGGAGUAAAGUCAGAGGGGGUAGGGCUUGGUGAUGCCCCUUCGUAAUCACUUGCUGACUCACUGAACAAGUCUUGAUCACUCAAGCCCUUGCUGCGUUUGCAAUAAAGUCUUGCAGAUUUAAUCCAUAGACAAAUGGAAAGCUUCUGAAGGUUUUCAGCAGAGGAGUUGCAAGUUUGCAUUAUGCUCAUUUAAAAGUAUUGUUCUGGCUAUUGUUUGGAGUGAAGGAGCAGAGAAGGUGGGUAGGUCAUUAAGGCAGCAAAUUUAUCCAGGCAGUCUCUGAACGUGCCUGUGAUUGAGUGUGUAUGGUAGGACUUUCUGUUCAAGUUUCCUCAGUGAUGUGUAAUAUGGUUCUUGCUCUCAAGGUAACUCCAUAGCUGGGAGCCAAGUCUCGAAGCCCCAUGAGGGGAAGUGGAUACAUCUCAGAAUUGGGUUUCCUGAUACACACGACUGCAUCCUUCAUCUGCCAGGCCCUGGCAUUGUUUACUGGAGAAGAUGUCAUAGGAAAUUGGGCUAUGUCAUUGAGCCACUGGAGUCACACAUGAACAGCCAUUUGGAGAUUCUGGAAUUGAUGGUUCAGGUGGAGUACCCCUUAUCUGAAAUGCUUGGGAACAGAAGCUUUUCGGAUUUGGGAUUUUUUCAUAUUUUGAAAUUUUUGCAUCCUAUACUUACAGGUUGAGCAUCCCUAAUCUGAAAAUCCAAAAUUGGAAUUGCUUCAGUGAGCAUUUCCUUUGAGUAUCAUGGCAGUGCUCAGAAAGUUUCAGAUUUUAGAGCAUUUUGGAUUUUGAAUUUUUGGAUUAGGGAUGCUUAACCUGAACCUACCAUUUAAAAGUGCUUAAUAAUCAAGUCAAAUCCUAUGUUGGAUAAUGAGACUUGGCUUAAAUAGCCCUUCCUAUAUUUAACUGUCUAUCUUGUUCUGCUGAAACCUUGGGAAUUGAGUGGGAAGAGGUAUCAUGGACCCCUGUUGCCUGUAAACUCCUGAAAGAAGAAAAAUAUGUUUUUUAACUCCUGAAUGUCAGGGUUCUUAUUCAUCUUUGUGUCCUCUGUCACCUAGAAAAGCCUGGAAGUUAGUAGGUCUUCAAUUAAUAGAAGGCCUUAUAGCAUAAUUGUUAAAAAGCUGAGGCUUUAUGGGCAAAUGAGAGUUUAAGUCCUGAAUCCACUAAUUCUCAACCGUUUCUUGGGCAAGUUAAUUAACCUUCCUAAGCCUCAAGUUUUUUAUCAGCAAGAUAAUGAUUAAAUGCCAAAUUCUUAGUUAAAUGCCUAGCAAAUAUAAAGGACCAAAUGUAUUUUAGUUCUUAUUAUUAAUGUUGAUUGAAUGCAAAAAUACAAUCAUGAUGAAACAAACCAUUUUACAAAAUUGGGGAUGAAGAAAAGAGCAAGAUGUGCUACAUUUAUGAGCUCAUCAUAUUUAAUAGGCUUUUCAGUGUCUGCAGUUGUUCUGUUUCUGGGAUAAGAUUUGGUGUAUUUUAUAUAUUAAUUCACAUAAUAAUGGAUCUUUUUGUGGUAAUCUGCAUAUAACCUGGAUGAAAACUCAAAUAUGUUUCUACAGCCUGCCAAAGUCUCCCUGAGAAGCCAAACUUCUCUUGCUUAGAUCCAACUAUGGGGUAUUGGUAUGGCCAUGGCUUUGGAAUAACGGUGUGAUCCAACUGAACUUGGUCACAGUGGUGUAAUAAAGUAGCAAAGGCAUUUGGUUAGCAUAGAGGAAGUGGGGGUUGGGGGAGGCACAUAGCUCAUGCUACUGGUCUGGGGACAUGUCUGGCUGAAAUGCUUGUUGGAAGUAUUUCAAAGUCAAAUACAAAUAGUUUUACAUAAGUUAUUCUUAUUUUCUAGUUUAGGUAAACUGUAUGAUGUAGUGAAACAAUGUUGCCUGGAAUUCCUGAAGAGAAGACCAAUCACUAAAAUUUGAGACUACUGCACAAUUCUGAUAUCUGAAUCAUUUCCAUAGAUAGAUUUUGGUUAAAGCACCUGUGUAUAUUCUGUCAUUAUUAAUUUGUGUCUGCUUUUUUACGGUUUCUAAAAUCAUGUUUUUAAAUUUUACAAACUCAGGUAAAUAAAAUAAAACCACCCAUAAUCCUAUCACCUUAACACAGCCUUGGCCAAUAGUUUUUUUGUUAUAUAUAUUUUUAAGUCUUUUUUUCUAUUCACUCUUUUAAUUUACCUGUAGCCAUUGUG
Molecule: long non-coding RNA, 7132 nt
Filed under: Homo sapiens (human)
Lineage: Eukaryota; Metazoa; Chordata; Mammalia; Primates; Hominidae
Description: HSALNT0011120
Source: RNAcentral